AGCCGAUAGAAAUCAUCAAGCCAAGCUCCUCCUACUAGCCUUACCGUCUCUCUCCCUGCUAUUGGGAUAACCAAACCCUAACCCCCACCAAAUCUCCCAGUCCUCAAACCCUAGCUUAUACUCUAUCAAUUUCUAUCAUAGCCACUGCUUCUUCUCUUCAUAACCUCAUUUAUCUCAAAGCUUCCAUUGUCAGACAUGGACCUCCAGCGAGCUAUGCUAGACGAACUCAUGGGUUCUGAUCGUAAUUUGACGGAGGAAGAGAAGAAAGAGUACAAGGAAAUUACGUGGGAUUCUAAGGAGGUCUGUCCAUACUAUAUGGCUCGAUUUUGUCCACAUGACCUCUUUGUUAACACCAAAAGUGAUCUAGGGCCAUGUGAUAGGAUUCAUGAUCCAAAGUUGAAAGAAAGCUUUGAGAGUUCCCCAAGACACGACAGAUAUCUGCCCAAAUUUGAAGCUGAACUUGCUCAGCGUUGUGAGAAAUUGGUCAUGGAUUUGGAUAGAAGAGUUAGGCGUGGAAGAGAACGCCUUGCUCAAGGGGAGGAACCAAUACCACCUCCUCCACUGUCAGCUGGAAAGUCUGAACAGUUAUCUGUGGUGGAGGAGAAAAUAAAGAACCUGCUGGUGCAAGUGGAAUCCCUUGGUGAAGCUGGGAAGGUGGAUGAAGCUCAAGCACUUAUGAAAAAGGUGGAUGAACUCAAUUCUGAGAAGGCCUUGAUUCAAUCCCAGAGCGAUAAAUUAUUGAUGGUUCCGCAGGAGAAAAAGAUGGCCUUGUGUGAGAUUUGUGGUUCUUUUCUAGUAGCAAAUGAUGCUGCUGAGAGGACUCAGUCUCAUGUCUUAGGGAAGCAGCACAUAGGUUACGGCAUGGUCCGAGAUUUCAUCACAGAGUACAAGGCAGCUAAGGA
RNAcentral lists this unclassified non-coding RNA (902 nucleotides) under Hevea brasiliensis (rubber tree). The record is from RNAcentral. Lineage: Eukaryota; Viridiplantae; Streptophyta; Magnoliopsida; Malpighiales; Euphorbiaceae.